AUCGGGUAGAACAAUUCGCUACGGGUAAAUUGUUCUCGCAGUUCCCGUAAAUAUCCCGGUUCGUUUUAGGGACAUGGUAUUCUUAAACCCCUAGCCAGCCGUAGAAUGCACAAUCGCUGCCCGCUUGUACGAUGAAGAUGGCAAGUUCUGCUUUCUACUCCGUGUUACGUGAUCCUGCGUGUAUUUCUAUGCGACUGGUCAAUGUCAGGUUUCGAGAAUGCCGCGUGUCCGGUAACGUUAGGCGUGCGAUCGCGCCUCGACUGUAUUUCACUUAUUCAGACUUGG
Molecule: unclassified non-coding RNA, 285 nt
Filed under: Bombus terrestris (buff-tailed bumblebee)
Lineage: Eukaryota; Metazoa; Arthropoda; Insecta; Hymenoptera; Apidae
Description: misc RNA ENSBTSG00005021665.1
Source: RNAcentral